This 371-nucleotide ribosomal RNA is filed under the name uncultured bacterium. RNAcentral's name for it is "bacterial SSU rRNA". It matches the Rfam family "Bacterial small subunit ribosomal RNA", at positions 525 to 896 of the family's 1533-position model. The record is from RNAcentral.
ACGAAGGGGGCUAGCGUUGUUCGGAAUUACUGGGCGUAAAGCGCGCGCAGGCGGCCAUUCAAGUCAGGGGUGAAAGCCCAGAGCUCAACUCUGGAACUGCCCUUGAAACUGUAUGGCUUGAGUAUGAGAGAGGUGAGUGGAAUUCCCAGUGUAGAGGUGAAAUUCGUAGAUAUUGGGAAGAACACCGGUGGCGAAGGCGGCUCACUGGCUCAUUACUGACGCUCAGGCGCGACAGCGUGGGGAUCAAACAGGAUUAGAUACCCUGGUAGUCCACGCCGUAAACUAUGGACGCUAGCCGUUGGGCAGCUUGCUGCUCAGUGGCGCAGCUAACGCAUUAAGCGUCCCGCCUGGGGAGUACGGCCGCAAGGUUG